This 107-nucleotide ribosomal RNA is filed under the name Panthera pardus (leopard). The record is from RNAcentral. Lineage: Eukaryota; Metazoa; Chordata; Mammalia; Carnivora; Felidae.
CUAUGGCCACACCACCCUGAACACGCCCGAUCUUGUCUGAUCUCAGAAGCUAAGCAGGGUCGGGUCUGGUUUGUACUGGGGCGCCUGGGUGGCUCAGUCGGUUAAGC